RNAcentral lists this ribosomal RNA (254 nucleotides) under uncultured bacterium. Its description in RNAcentral is "partial 16S ribosomal RNA". It matches the Rfam family "Bacterial small subunit ribosomal RNA", at positions 524 to 776 of the family's 1533-position model. The record is from RNAcentral.
UACGUAGGGAGCAAGCGUUGUCCGGAAUCAUUGGGCGUAAAGCGCGCGUAGGUGGCUUCAUAAGUCCGUUGUGAAAGUCAAAGGCUCAACCUUUGAAAGCCGAUGGAUACUGUGAAGCUAGAGUACGGAAGAGGCGAGUGGAAUUCCUGGUGUAGCGGUGGAAUGCGCAGAUAUCAGGAGGAACACCAAUAGCGAAGGCAGCUCGCUGGGACGUUUACUGACACUGAGGCGCGAAAGCGUGGGGAGCGAACAGG